CUGCCUUUGUUAAACACAGCCUUUUAAGAAGUGCAAUAUUAAAACAAAAGCCAUGAGUCUUCUAAGCCCAGUGUGUAAAGAUACACUCUGAGUUAUAACUCAAAGGCACAAUU
RNAcentral lists this small nucleolar RNA (113 nucleotides) under Microcebus murinus (gray mouse lemur). RNAcentral's name for it is "Small Cajal body specific RNA 1 (ENSMICG00000024502.3)". It matches the Rfam family "Small Cajal body specific RNA 1". Rfam says of the family: scaRNAs are a specific class of small nuclear RNAs which localise to the Cajal bodies and guide the modification of RNA polymerase II transcribed spliceosomal RNAs U1, U2, U4, U5 and U12. The record is from RNAcentral. Lineage: Eukaryota; Metazoa; Chordata; Mammalia; Primates; Cheirogaleidae.